This 253-nucleotide ribosomal RNA is filed under the name uncultured bacterium. Its description in RNAcentral is "partial 16S ribosomal RNA". It matches the Rfam family "Bacterial small subunit ribosomal RNA", at positions 524 to 776 of the family's 1533-position model. The record is from RNAcentral.
UACAGAGGUGGCAAGCGUUGUUCGGAAUUACUGGGCGUAAAGCGUGCGUAGACGGUUACAUAAGUCGGGUGUGAAAGCCCCGGGCUCAACCUGGGAAUUGCAUUCGAGACUGCGCAGCUAGGGUGCGGAAGAGGGAAGCGGAAUUUCCGGUGUAGCGGUGAAAUGCGUAGAUAUCGGAAGGAACACCAGUGGCGAAAGCGGCUUCCUGGUCCAGCACCGACGUUCAGGCACGAAAGCGUGGGGAGCAAACAGG